CGAGAAAGCCCGCAAGGGUGAGUAAAGCGGCGCACGGGUGCGUAACACGUGGAUAAUCUGCCCUGGAGUCCGGAACAACUCGCCGAAAGGCGAGCUAAUGCCGGAUGAGACCACGGGGGCUUCGGCCCCUGAGGGAAAAGGUGGCCUCUGUACACAAGCUAUCGCUUCAGGAUGAGUCCGCGGCCCAUCAGCUAGUUGGCGGGGUAAUGGCCCACCAAGGCAACGACGGGUAGCUGGUCUGAGAGGACGAUCAGCCACACUGGAGCUGAGACACGGUCCAGACUCCUACGGGAGGCAGCAGUGGGGAAUCUUGCGCAAUGGGCGAAAGCCUGACGCAGCAACGCCGCGUGUGUGAUGAAGGUCUUCGGAUCGUAAAGCACUGUCGCGAGGGACG
RNAcentral lists this ribosomal RNA (394 nucleotides) under uncultured Anaeromyxobacter sp. Its description in RNAcentral is "bacterial SSU rRNA". It matches the Rfam family "Bacterial small subunit ribosomal RNA", at positions 67 to 447 of the family's 1533-position model. Lineage: Bacteria; Pseudomonadati; Myxococcota; Myxococcia; Myxococcales; Anaeromyxobacteraceae. The record is from RNAcentral.